Molecule: non-coding RNA, 9050 nt
Organism: Drosophila virilis
Lineage: Eukaryota; Metazoa; Arthropoda; Insecta; Diptera; Drosophilidae
Source: RefSeq, a predicted model, not a curated record
AAGAAUAUAUAUACUUUAUGGGGUCGGAGAUCUCGUUCUACUUUUUAAUAAUAUCCCCUUUCUGCGGAAGGCACACCACUUGCCGAGCUCAUCGCAAGUCUUAGGUUUUUAUUACAGUGUAGCUGCAACUCACCAUACAAUUGCAAGAAUUUCUGUACACACACACAUUCUCGCUCGUCUUUAUUGAGUUUAAUCAACAGUAUUGCAAUUUCGAUUGUACUGUUUUUGUGCUAGUGUUUAAAUCCAUUUUUUUCUCAUUGGCUCCAUUGUUUGUGUGGCUGCUAAGUAGAGGCAGCUUUAACUUAAAACUUGUAAGUAUUGCGGUCUGUUACGAGUGCAAGUCCUUUGUGAAAACUAUUAUAUUCCAGUGUCAGAUUAGACAAUGCAUACACACAAGGUAUCCCUAUCCCUCGAAGCUCUGGGUUGCCGGCAGAAACGCCGGCAUCUCGAUGAGUCAGCGGCUCGUGACCGUCCAUCGUUUUUCACUCAGCGAGCGCAUGCGAGGUUAUCGGGUAUCGUUGCCUGUUCAGCAGCCAAAAUCAUCUGACCGUUGCAUCACGGGCAUCGAGUACCGCGUUCCACUCAGCAACAACUUUGUUGCGCGUGUUAAAUCCUCCCACAAAUAAGUGAGGGUCGUCCUCAGUGCUCCUUGGAUAAGCUUCAGGGUCCUGGGUGUUCUCAGAUAUGGACUGACGUGUCCGUUUCAGAUGACGCAAGAUGAUCACCGUGACACAGCUGCUCAUGAUGGGUUUUGAUAGUAUAUCGUCUUUCAAUUCGCUUAUGUGCUGCGAGCAUGUCUUCCAAAUCUAAAAUUAUUUUAUUACUUUGUACGGGACAAACAAUGAUUUUCUUACAAACUAGUUGAGGGAUUGGGAAUAUAAUUAGGAAGUGUACGGUGUGAUUAUUUUGGAAAGCUUUAAUACUAGAUACUUUCAAAAUGCUAACUACACCAACGUUUGUGAGAUGACUGCUCGGAUGUUGACGUUGUUUAGGAUAGAUGCGCUUGUUCUAGUGUCUUUUCCUCGGGCUCUUGGAUUUUAUCUUUUAUGUCCCUCUCCACAUUGGCGCAAGCAGAUUGAAUUAGCUCGGUAAUUUUUUUACUUGUUAUCAAGUGUAUUGUACGAUCAGUCAUAAGUACCAAUUCCACCGUGUCGUAGAUUUUUGGAUCGAUCUUUAUACAAAGAGCUAUUUCAGUGAGGUUGCUAUGGAACCUUUCAACUUGCCCAUUUGACGAUGUGGAUGUUGAAGCUGUUCAAUAAAACGGACUUGAUGGCUUCGGAGAUCAGCGAUUUCUCGUUAUCGCAGUAGAUUGUAGAAAUUUUUGGGAAAAGGCUGACCAAUUGGAUAAUUGGAAAUUUAAUAUCUACUAUGGAGUUUGGAGAACUCUACUAUGAGUUUGGAGAAUUUACCGAUACUGGUGAGGAAGGACUUUCUUUCUGACCGAGGGUUUGCUUGAUCGGGUGGCGAUUGUAUUUUGCCAUCGAGCAGGUUCUGCAAUUAAGUGCUACUUCCGUAGCUAGCUUAGCCAUCUAUGGAAAGAAAUAGUUCGUUAAGACUUGUUUCACGUUCUCUUGGGCUACGCGAUGAGCGCGGUUAUGUUCAGUUACCAUUAUCUCCUUUUGUUCGGAGAGUUCGGUAAUGUCUGUGACAAGAAAUUUAGAGUGAUUAAAUGUUAUCGAAGGGAAUGUUUCGACUAUUUUGUAUUUGUGAUAAAUGCCAAUAUCGGUAGCUCGCAAUGGAUUGCGUUAACUAUAUCGACCCUUACUGCUCUAACAAAGUUUUCCAUAGCGUGUCGCGUUCGGAGAAUCUAAUUACGUGCCUAAUUUUUUCUUUAAAAUAAAUGAAAUUUGAUACAUGCUUCUUUUGUUAUAAUCUUAUUACGGAAACAGUUAACUGACUUGUUAACAGUUGUUAAACAGUUGUUUAUAUUGUGUAAGUGACUGAUCCCUCACUGUGGCAGAUGGCAACGUCCGAGUCCGGGCUAUCUUCUAUCGUAUUUACUAGCUGGUGUGACAGGGCAUCCGAAACAAGUUUUUCUUUUCCCAGUUUAAAAAUUAGAUUUCCACCAUGUUCAUCGAUAAACGCUUUCCAACGUUUUAGCAUAGCAUUAGGAUUCGAACGUUGGACACCGCGAAUGAAAGUGGUGGUGGUUUGUGAAGAUAUUUAUAUGCCUAACAGCAUAAAGAUAGUUUUGAAGCUUAUUAAGUGACCCUACUAUGGCAAGCAGCGCCCCUCUCAUGAUCGCGAAGUUUUGUUUGUUGUCGUGCAGCGUGCGUACAAUCAUUGUGAUUGGAGGGCCGUUCUGAUAUAGAAUAGCUCCUAGACCAUAACCGGAGGCAUCGGUGGUAUAAGUUUGAAUAUACCGGUUCCCCAUUUGUUCUUAUAGUUGCGAUGGUAUUGAUAUUUAAAGGCAGAGCUUCGUUAGGGUCUGGGAAUGCUUUAAUUCUUUUCUUAAUCAUUUUGGCAAAUGAUUCUCGGACGGUUGUCAGAACAUCGCCAUCGUCAACUUGAAUAAAAUUGUCGUUGGGGGAACUUGUAAAAUGGAUGGGUUCUGAGCCGUAUCUCGUUUUUAUUUGAUUAUUAGAGAAGCCAAUGGUGGCAUUGACUUUUUAUCUAGACAAUCUAUUAUUGGAUUGAAAUGCAACACCUCGUUGUACAAUGCGAGCAUGACAUCUGCAUCGCCUUUAAUUGUAUUCCUUAUAAUACCAACAGGUAGAUAAUGUCUGCUGCUACCCACAUAUUUCAUAUGCUGCAUGAGCAGGGAAGUGCCAAGAGACAUAUUUUUCUUGACUACCAUCAAAAUUAGGCAUUGAUCUCACCAUGUCAAGGGGCUCGUGUCAUCUGUCUAUCUGUCAUCACCCUAUUGAAACACUUCGACUUGGCGGCCACCAUGCUUUUGAUCUGUUGCUUAUUCAUAUUAUUAUCUUAGAUGGGUCGGCACCAGUGUUGGUGUCAUUGCCAACACGGUUCGAGUCUUGAUAAGCUAUAUGGUGUGUGUUCUUGCUAAUUCAAGGGGUGUUGUCUCUGAUAUAUAUUGGUGUUGGAUCGAAAGCCUUUUUUUGACCUUUCAAGAAUCUUAUCUCAAGUGGGCGUGUGUGGAUGGUAUGAAGUUUUAAUAAAGGUUUUACAAAUUUAUGAGCAACACGACUGACUUCUAUGAUGAUGCUUACAGAACUGGUUUCUUAACAUAAAUUAAGAUUAAAAGGACCGAGCAAUAACAAAGUUCGAAAGAGAGCGAGGCUUCGUAAAUGUGUAUGAGUGCUUAUGACAUUCAAAUAGAAGAGAAUUAGCAUAAUCUUAACAUGAUCUGCUUUGACAUUGCUAUUAAUACCCUGACUAAUAUAUAUAUGAGGUAUAUGACCGAACUUCCGGCCGCUUUGAAAAAUUAUCUUUCAAGAGACAGUUAGAACGGCCAGCUUAUAUACUGGCCGGCAACAGAGUCCAGAGGCAGUGCGAAUAUAUGCGAAACGAACCCGGUCAUCUUUGCCACUCACAACAGACUCAACACGCCCUAAUUUUAAGUGUAAUGGCGGUGUGUUGUCCUCAUGUAUGAUGACCAUAGAGUCAACUGUGAGAUUUGGAGAAGCCGAAGUUCAUUUUGUCCUGGCUCGAAGCUCGUUCACAUACUCCGCAGACCAACGACGCCAGAAUUGCUGUUUAACAGCUGUGAUCUGCUCGUAACGAUCCAAGUUGGAGAUGUUGUUGGUGAUAAUCUCACGUUUGGGCAAAGCGCGCGGUGCAUCUCCAUUUAGAAAGUGUCCUGCAGUGAGAGCGCUGAAGUCGUUGGGAUCAGAUGAUAGCGGUGUCAGCAGGCGAGAGUUGAGUACUGUUUCUAUUUCAACGACUGCGGUGUUCAGUUCCUCAAAGGUGAACCGGGUGCUAGCGGGGGGAACGCACCAGCAGACUCUUUGCGCUCUUGACAGCGGCCUCCCAAAGACCGCCAAAGUGUGGAGCCCAAGGUGGAAUGAAAUGAAAGGUUAUCUCUUUAGAGGAACAAUAUGAUAGGAUAGCAUCUUGAGUGCUAGUGUUGAACAUGAACUUCUUUAACUCGAGUAGCUUGUUGGAUGCUCCGACAAAAUUUGUGGCGUUGUCACAAUAGAUGUGCGAUACUGGUCCGGGCAACCAUGCGUUUCAACGAUUUCAAAAACUUAUUCGUUAAAGGAUCUGACACGAUUUCAAUGUGAACGUCCUUUACGGCCAUGCAGACAUAUAUGGCAAUAUAGGAUUUUGUGGGACCUUUGCCACGUAUUCGAAGAUAGGUGUUCACUGGACCGCGGAAGUCGACUACAACGUGGCGAAAUGGCUUGUCUGUGGAUAAGCGCUCAGGUGGCAGGAAACCCAUGACUUGACGAAGUAGAACGGGACGAUAUCUGACACAGUGUACACAAGAACGAACAAUGCUGCGUGCUAAAGCUCUUCAUUUAUGACCCAGAAUUGAAGCCGCAGCAGUCCAACAAAUGCCUUUGGUCCUGCAUGGUAAUUGCGCAAGUGAAGAUGCCGAACAUAAUUGUGGACAAAUUGCGAUUCCUUGGGAACAAGUUAAGGAUGCCUUUGACGAAAGGGGAUAUCAGCAUGCUCGAGUCUGCCGCCAACCUUAAUGAGCUCGUAUCCAAAAGCGUCAUCUAUGAAGGGGCUGAGAAAUUUCAGAUUGCUUUUCAAAUCUCUUUGUUUCCUUAGCAAUUGCAAAUCUUCCUUGAAAUAGUGCUGUUGGAUGAUCCUGAUGAUGCAGUGCAACGCGUGGCGAAGUUCUUCUGGGCAUGGCGGCGAACUUUCGACAGGGUGUUCCUUUUUGGCACUAUGGUAACACCGGAACAUAUAUGACAUAACUUGAAGCGCCCGAAUGUAUGAACUAGUUCCGUUCAGCCAGUCCAGAAUAGAAUUACUUUCGAUAAUUGCAGCAAAUGUAGACUUCCGUUUUUCAGCAUCGAUGAUGUCCAUGUCCAAAUCAUUGUCGAAUUGUUGGCAGGGCCAUUGAGUUUCGGAAUCACACUGAAACGCAGGUCCUGCAAACCAAAUUGAUUGCUGGAGCUCAUUAGCUGGGCAUCCACGUAACACGAUGUCAGCAGGGUUCAAUUUUGACGGUACAUGUCUCCACUUUCCAUCUGCUGUUUGAUCUUGUAUAAUGGAUACUCUAUUUCCAACAAAUGUCGACAAGGUGAUAGAGUGUUUUUGCAGCCAGUGCAAGACAAUCUGCGAAUCAGACCAGAAAUGCGCGCUGUGCGGCUUGCCGAUGAAUUUGUCUUUGACAGUUGUAUAUAACUUACUCAGAAGUUGAGCUCCGCUUAACUCUAAUCGAGGAAGCGUCAGCUUCUUUACAGGAGCCACCCGAGAUUUAGGUGUCAGAAGCUGAACCUGGACAUUGCCAUACGAGUCCGUGGAACGCACAUAUACUCAACAGCCGUAAACACGUAUUGAUGCGUCCCAGAAAGCGUGCAGUUGUAUGUGAGCUCAGCUUGCAAGCAAAAACGGGGUACUGAAAUCGACGACUAUUCCUUGAGGGACGUUACGCAUUUUCUCCAUGCUUGUAGAAGUGAUUGCGGAACAAAUUCAUCCCAGGCGAGUUUUAGCAGACAUAGCUUCUGUAUGAUGAUUUUCGAGACGAUAAUGAUUGGUGCCAGCAAUCCUAAUGGAUCGAACAAAGAAGACGCAGUCGAGAGAAUAGCCCUCUUUGUGACUGUUGAAUACAAUUUUUUGGGUUUAAAUUCAAAUAGUAGUACAUUACGACGUUGAUCCCAAGCUACGCCAAGUGCGCUAGUGACAGCGUUUUCAUCCAAGUUUAAAUCCUUUACCGAUUCGUCGUUCCUGACGACGGGAUGAUUGGAGUGCCACUUAACCAAUGGGAAGUGUCCUUGGCGAAGUAUCUCGGUGACCUCGUGUUUGAUGUUUUGCAACUCGAUGAGCUCGUUUGCUCCGUAUAGCAGAUCAUCAACAUAAAACGAUGAUUGUACAAUGGAUGCGCCAAUGGGAAACUCGUUAACAUGGAGAUCUACCAGAUAUUGCAAACUGCGAACUGCUUAGUAUGGGGCCGAGGCCGUUCCAUACGUCACUGUAUUUAGCUCAAAGGUCUGCAAAUCAGCAUCAGGGGAUGCUCUCCAAAAUAUAUAUUGAAAUUUUCGAUCCACUGGGCUGACUAAAACUUAUCUAUACAUUUUCGUAACGUCCGCUGUGAUGGCGUAACGAACUAAUCGAAAACGAAGGAGAACUAUAUACAGAUCUUCUUGGAGUGUUGAGCCAACGAGAAGCAAAUCAUUCAAUGAAUGCUGGGACGAUGAAGUGCACGAGGCGUCAAACACGACUCGUAACUUCGUUGAUGCACUGUUGGGUUUAAAAACACAAUGGUGAGGAAUAUAAAAGUGUGGCUCACUUAAUCUCGGAUUCGUCACUAAAGUCAUAUGGCCAAGAUCCUCAUAUUCUUUCAUGAAGGUUACAUAUUGCGAUUGAACAGUAGGCUGCUGACUGAGGCAAUUCUCGAGCGAUAAAAAACGACGACGUGCAACAUCGCUUGAAUUGCCAAGGCACAUUGGAUCUCCCUUGAAAGGUAGACGCACAACAAUCCUGCCGUUAUUUAUCUGUGUUGUCCUUGAAAACAUAUCUUUAAAGAGCCGAUGUUCUGGAUUGAUUGAGAGAAUUUUCUAGAGCAUCAAUGCUCCACAGUAAUUGAAGAUUUUCGUCAAUUGACUCCUUCACAGAAAGCAAGCGAUACUUGCCAGACACAACCCAUCCAAGCAACGUUUUUUGAAGGACUGGCAAAUUGCCUACGAGCUUACUAAUCCCAACAGCCAGGCAUUCGAAAACUGCUUCGGUACCGAGAAGGAGAUCAAUCCGACCUGACCUGUGGAAAGUUUCGUCCGCAAGUGGUGUAUUCGCAGGCAACCUCCAAUCUGAGGUGUCGAUUUCCGAAUCCGGCUGGUAGGCAAUGUGAGACGUUAUGCAGAACUGUAGUGUUACUUCAAAUGGUGACAAACAAGAAUUAAUUCCAGUAGUUGUACAGUUGUUAAUUUUAGUCGAGGUCUCCCCUAUGCUGCGGAUUUCGAAAUGAUGCUUAUCACGGCGUAGAUGCAGCCGUUGGGCGAAUUGAUCAGUUAUGAAAUUGACUUGGGAACAUGAGCCAAGCAAUGCUCUGCCUUGUUUAUACGCCCCUGACGAACCUCGCACUAGUACCUUUGCAGUAGCAAGAAUUAUUUGUCCGCCUGGCGAUUGAUUCAGAAGGACAUUUGCGCUAUGGAUGAUGGCGAUGUAGACGAUGAUGAUGCAGGCGGUUGGCCAAAAUGCAGAAGCGUGUGAUGGCGAUGCUUCCAGCUUCGACAACGAUUGUUAGACGGACACUGAGCCAUCCGAUGUCCUAAUUGAAGGCAAUUAAUGCAAAGUCCAGCAUUUUUUACGACUCCGUACUUUAGUUUAGGACUCAUGUCUUGAAACUGAGAACAUUGUACAAUUUUAUGGUCGGAGCUGGAACAAACAAUGCAUUUGGGAUUAGUAAUAGCAAAUGAUAAUCCCUUGCUAGGCUUGUACACGUGUUUUUGUUUCGAAGAAUCAGUUAUUCUAUACGAUGCAAUGCCGCUUGAUAACAGAAACUGACAAUGACGUUCCAAAAAAGUUGUGCAGUGAGCCGAAUUUGGCAAUGUACGUAAGUCAAGAGACUCAUUCCACUUGUUACGAGUUUGCUGGUCACAUUUUCCGAUGACGAUGAAUAUCAACAUGGCUUGGGCAAUAUCUGAUCCGGUACCCAAUGACGAUAAUGAUGAAUACAGGGCUGACGCAUUGUCCAGCAGACUGCGCAGCUGAUUUCCGUCCGGUUUGUCGACUGGCUGUAGAUUGAAUAGUGAUUCUAUGGUGUCAAAAAUGUAAGUGUAGGCUUGUCAUAACGUUCACUUAAACGAGCAAGAGCCUUGGGAUAAUUUUCCUGAGUGACUUGGAAUGCCUUUACUGCUUGUAGGGCAGGGCCCUUCAAGCAAUUCAGCAGAUGAUUAAACUUUUCAAUGUUCGAAAGAGAGUGCUCACGACCAAUAAUCUGAUUGAAUGAUGUAAUGAAGUUUUUAAGCUCUGCUCGUUUUUCAUCAAAUACAGGCGGAGUCAAUUGAGGAAGACUCGAUGGCGGCGAAGAGCGAAUUGGAGCAGGGUUAGAAAAUGAGGUGCUGUGCAGUACAUCAUCCAGUUGGGAUUGGAUGGACAAUGGAUGAUACUCACAUAUGUGUCUUUCACCUCUGCAACUCCAUUGUCCUGAGGAUCUUCCAAUUCAAUUUCAGAUUGUACUUCCAAAACCUCCUUAAUGUAUAUCUCCAACAUGUCCAAGCGUAAUUGUAGCUCACCGUGUGAUAAUCUUUUUUCACUGCCAUCGACCUCAGUAGACACUCUUACAACAUCCUCUAAGUGUGCGACAUUGCGUUUUAUGUUCGCUCGCUUACGUAAGUUUGCUUCAAGAGUUGACAUUAUGUAUCGAGAAUGUUGUGAUCACCGAUGUGACCGAGCGGCAGUUUUGAUACUGCAGAAUUUUCACAGCCUAACUUUAACCUGAUAAUGUCACUCUCAGCAAUGUGAGCGAGCGAGUUCAAAUGCUCCCACUGUUAACAGAACAGCUAAGACUUGUAAAUGUUGCGCUCGCUGAUGUGAGGGUCGCUUGCAGUGAUGAAGCAAAAUGCAAAGAACAAGCAGAGGCAGCGAGUUUCCAGCGACGAAGCAACGGCAACGAGAAAGGAGAUGUGAGGAAAAGGCAAUGAGCAAUCAAACUCAGAGCGUAUCCAGCGCGAAGUAACGGCUACAAGAAUGCAGUAGCGAAGCGAAGGUAGCGAGUUUCCAGCGACGAAGCAACGGCAACAAGAAAGAAGAGCUGGCCAAAUGUUGCUGUCGAUGCAUUAUUUUGCGAGGAGUUCGAUGAAACCUUUUUCCAACGAAAUGUUGUGCGGCAACGAUACGCCGGCAAUUUCCACACACUAUCCCCAAUGUUGGGCGCCAAAAUGUUGGAUCAAAAGCGUUUUUUUGACCUUUUAAGAAUCUUAUCUCAAGUGGGCGUGUGUGGAUGGUAUGAAGUUUUAAUAAAGGUUUUACAAAUU